GUACUCGCUUCGGUGGCACGUGCAUUUAAGUCGGAACCAUACAGAGAGGGUUAGCAUGACCCCUAGGAGAAUAUGCCACGUAAAAUCGAAAAAAGGAAAGUAUUGUU
This is a small nuclear RNA of Schistocerca piceifrons (Central American locust), 107 nucleotides long. NCBI's taxonomy places the organism in Eukaryota, Metazoa, Arthropoda, Insecta, Orthoptera, Acrididae. The record is from RefSeq and is a predicted model, not a curated record.